UACGAAGGGGGCUAGCGUUGCUCGGAUUUACUGGGCGUAAAGGGCGCGUAGGCGGAUGACCAAGUUGGGGGUGAAAUCCCGGGGCUUAACCUCGGAACUGCCUCCAAAACUGGUCGUCUUGAGUUUGGGAGAGGUGUGUGGAACUCCGAGUGUAGAGGUGAAAUUCGUAGAUAUUCGGAAGAACACCAGUGGCGAAGGCGACACACUGGCCCAAUACUGACGCUGAGACGCGAAAGCGUGGGGAGCGAACAGG
Molecule: ribosomal RNA, 253 nt
Filed under: uncultured bacterium
Lineage: Bacteria
Description: partial 16S ribosomal RNA
Rfam family: Bacterial small subunit ribosomal RNA
Source: RNAcentral